This is a long non-coding RNA of Marmota flaviventris (yellow-bellied marmot), 582 nucleotides long. RefSeq lists it as uncharacterized. The record is from RefSeq and is a predicted model, not a curated record. NCBI's taxonomy places the organism in Eukaryota, Metazoa, Chordata, Mammalia, Rodentia, Sciuridae.
AACCUCUAUGGUAGAGGUUCUUACCUUUGGGGAUCAUGAAACCCACUGAGAACUUGAUGAAAGCUAGAGACCUUAUUGCUGGAAAACUAAUAUGAGCACAAACUAUGCAUAUAUUUUCAGAACAUUUAUAUACCCUACCUGAAUACCCCAUAAGAGCUCUUGUGCUCUGGAGAGUGUCAGGGGUGGGUGGAAGGAAAUGAUACAAGACCGAGGUUUGGAAGUACUUACAUGAAGUCAGAUUGAAUUUUAUGGGACCCACUGGCCAUAGACUUGAAUUCAACACCUUCAAGGUCAAUGUCUUGAGAAUUUGGGGACAAAGUCACUCAUCAUUAAUUACUGAGGUCAACUUUGGAGACACAAAAUAGAACAAGACACAGCCCCUGAUCAUGAAGAGUCCAAAGACAAAGAAAAAAGGAAAGAGAAGGGUGAGUGCUGUCACAGAAAGUGGAAUUUCAGAAUGCAGCAAGGACAAACGUCUGCCAGACUGAGGGAAUCCAGAGAACGCCUUGGAAUACUCCUUAUUGUUUUCAUGCCUAUUCCAAAUUUUUCAAAAUAAAACACUAAGUUACUUGUGAGAUUUUA